RNAcentral lists this ribosomal RNA (429 nucleotides) under bacterium. RNAcentral's name for it is "partial 16S ribosomal RNA". It matches the Rfam family "Bacterial small subunit ribosomal RNA", at positions 355 to 776 of the family's 1533-position model. The record is from RNAcentral.
UAGGGAAUCUUCGGCAAUGGGGGCAACCCUGACCGAGCAACGCCGCGUGAGUGAAGAAGGUUUUCGGAUCGUAAAGCUCUGUUGUAAGAGAAGAACGUGUGUGAGAGUGGAAAGUUCACACAGUGACGGUAACUUACCAGAAAGGGACGGCUAACUACGUGCCAGCAGCCGCGGUAAUACGUAGGUCCCGAGCUUUGUCCGGAUUUAUUGGGCGUAAAGCGAGCGCAGGCGGUUUAAUAAGUCUGAAGUUAAAGGCAGUGGCUUAACCAUUGUUCGCUUUGGAAACUGUUAAACUUGAGUGCAGAAGGGGAGAGUGGAAUUCCAUGUGUAGCGGUGAAAUGCGUAGAUAUAUGGAGGAACACCGGUGGCGAAAGCGGCUCUCUGGUCUGUAACUGACGCUGAGGCUCGAAAGCGUGGGGAGCAAACAGG